CGCACAUCUCUCCCUCAUCCCUGCUCCCCCCGAUUCUCUUCCCCUCCCCGGCCGCACGCAUAUCUCUCCCUCCUCUUUCCUUCCUCCCGAUCCCCUCCACACCAGCCCCUGCCUCUGCCUUCCUCCACACCAGCCGCCGCCCCUCUCCUUUCCUCCAUACCAGCCGCCGCCCCUCCACACCAGCCCCAGACCACACCGGCCGCCGCCCCUCUCCUCUCCGUCUCGCAUGGCGUCCAGAGAAGCAACAGUGGCCCGUGGCACCCAGAUCUCUCGGCCCUCUCACUCGCUGAGUCUCUUCCUGCAGCCGUGGAGAGGAGCCGCCGCCCUCAAGUCCUCCUGCCGCCGGAUCCGCCCGUGGUGCCCGGAUCUCUCGGUGAGUCUCUCUCUCUCUGAUUUCUCUCUCCGUCUCACUCGCUGAGUCACUUUCUGUAGCCAUGGAGCGCCGCCGUGGAGAGGAGCCGCCGCCCCCAAGCCCUCCUUUCGCCGGAUCCGACCGUGGCGCCCAGAUCUCUCGCCAUGGAGCGCCGCAGUGGAGAGGAGCCGCCACCCCCAAGCCCUCCUGCCGCCGGAUCCGCCUCCGUCGAUCGGCGCUCGAGUUUGGAAGCAAGUUGAUUUUGCGAGCAGAUUUGGUGUUUGGUUUUGAUUUGGUGUUUGCGAGUGGAUAACACCGGUGCGGUGAGGUCGACGGGCUGCUAUGUGGAUUUGGGGCUGGCUGGGGGCCGGCCACUUUUUUUUAUUUUCUUCAAAUUCACAUCACUGUCGGGCGUUAUGGUGUGACCGUUAGUAAGGGGCGGCCUGCCCGCCACUGAUGUUGUUUUUGGCCCGUUACUAAUGAAGAUAGUGCCCGCAUAUAUGGAUGGCGUAUCGGUGAUACAGAUACACCUCACAGUGGAAAUUAAGAAGCAGAGGAGGAAGAGGGGCUGCAGCCUGCAGGCGACACCUGCACCUCCAUCUCGAUGCCUACAUUUCUGACCUUUUCUUUUUCAGCAAAUGUGAAAUGUGGGUUCACAUUCCUGACCUUCAUGAGAAGGUUUUCUAAAAAAA
This is a long non-coding RNA of Brachypodium distachyon (stiff brome), 1044 nucleotides long. RefSeq lists it as uncharacterized. The transcript is spliced from 2 exons. Lineage: Eukaryota; Viridiplantae; Streptophyta; Magnoliopsida; Poales; Poaceae. The record is from RefSeq and is a predicted model, not a curated record.